RNAcentral lists this ribosomal RNA (1461 nucleotides) under uncultured bacterium. RNAcentral's name for it is "partial 16S ribosomal RNA". It matches the Rfam family "Bacterial small subunit ribosomal RNA". The record is from RNAcentral.
AGAGUUUGAUCCUGGCUCAGAACGAACGUUGGCGGCAUGCUUAACACAUGCAAGUCGAACGGCAGCAGCGGUGCUUGCACCGGCUGGCGAGUGGCGCACGGGUGAGUAACGCGUGGAUGACCUACCUAGAAGUGGGGGACAACAGCUGGAAACGGCUGCUAAUACCGCAUAAUCCCUACGGGGGAAAGAUUUAUCGCUUUUAGAGGGGUCCGCGUUGGAUUAGGUAGUUGGUGGGGUAAAGGCCUACCAAGCCGACGAUCCAUAGCUGGUCUGAGAGGAUGAUCAGCCACACUGGAACUGAGACACGGUCCAGACUCCUACGGGAGGCAGCAGUGGGGAAUAUUGCGCAAUGGGGGAAACCCUGACGCAGCAAUGCCGCGUGAGUGAUGAAGGCCUUAGGGUUGUAAAGCUCUUUCAGUAGUGAAGAUAGUGACGGUAACUACAGAAGAAGCUCCGGCUAACUCCGUGCCAGCAGCCGCGGUAAUACGGAGGGGGCAAACGUUGUUCGGAAUCACUGGGCGUAAAGGGCGCGUAGGCGGCCAAGCAAGUCAGGAGUGAAAUCUCGGGGCUCAACCUCGAAACUGCUCUUGAAACUGUUUGGCUAGAAUCCGGUAGAGGAUGGUGGAAUUCCCCGUGUAGAGGUGAAAUUCGUAGAUAUGGGGAGGAACACCGGAGGCGAAGGCGGCCAUCUGGGCCGGUAUUGACGCUGAGACGCGAAAGCGUGGGGAGCAAACAGGAUUAGAUACCCUGGUAGUCCACGCCGUAAACGAUGUCUACUUGGAGGUUGUGGCCUUGAGCCGUGGCUUUCGGAGCUAACGCGUUAAGUAGACCGCCUGGGGAGUACGGUCGCAAGAUUAAAACUCAAAUGAAUUGACGGGGGCCCGCACAAGCGGUGGAGCAUGUGGUUUAAUUCGAUGCAACGCGAAGAACCUUACCUACUCUUGACAUCCAGAGAACUUUCCAGAGAUGGAUUGGUGCCUUCGGGAACUCUGAGACAGGUGCUGCAUGGCUGUCGUCAGCUCGUGUUGUGAAAUGUUGGGUUAAGUCCCGCAACGAGCGCAACCCUUAUCCUUGUUUGCCAGCACUUCGGGUGGGAACUCCAGGGAGACUGCCGGUGAUAAACCGGAGGAAGGUGGGGACGACGUCAAGUCAUCAUGGCCCUUACGAGUAGGGCUACACACGUGCUACAAUGGCGCAUACAGAGGGCGGCCAACUUGCGAAAGUGAGCGAAUCCCAAAAAGUGCGUCGUAGUCCGGAUUGGAGUCUGCAACUCGACUCCAUGAAGUCGGAAUCGCUAGUAAUCGUAGAUCAGAAUGCUACGGUGAAUACGUUCCCGGGCCUUGUACACACCGCCCGUCACACCAUGGGAGUGGGCUGCAAAAGAAGUGGGUAGUUUAACCUUCGGGGGGACGCUCACCACUUUGUGGUUCAUGACUGGGGUGAAGUCGUAACAAGGUAACC